RNAcentral lists this long non-coding RNA (3222 nucleotides) under Nicotiana tabacum (common tobacco). RNAcentral's name for it is "long non-coding RNA (NTAB_LNC003416)". The record is from RNAcentral. Lineage: Eukaryota; Viridiplantae; Streptophyta; Magnoliopsida; Solanales; Solanaceae.
UACUUAUGUUUUUCUCCUGCGUUACUGUUGGUAAAAUGAUAUUUCCCCGCAGCAUGUCCCAUCCUUACUUGUAUUUUUCUGUUUUAUUUUUCGUUGUAUAUGGUAUAACUACACAGGUUUAUUUGGUAGUCUGGUCGUAGCCUCGUCACUACUUCGUCAGGGUUAGGCUAGGCACUUACCAGCAUAUGGGGUCGGUUGUGCUGAUACUACACUCUGCACCGUGUGCAGAUCCCGAAGCAGCAACAUUUGGACCUUAGUUUGGGUGGCUGCCUUCAGUCCAGUUGGAGAUUCCGAGGUAGUCCUGCAGGCGUCCGCAGGCCCUGGCGUCUCCUUCUAUCCCUUUAUCCUGUUUCAUUUACAUAUUUUAGAAAUAGUGUAUCAUUUAUUUUUCAGAUCUUGUUUGUAGUAAUUCUAGACUGUUUAUGAAGCGUGACACCAGUUCUGGGUAGAUUUUAUUUAAGAUGUUGUGUUGGAUAUAUAUAUUCAAAUGGUUUUAUUGAUUCUUCCGCUUGUUUAAAACUUCGCUGCUUAUAAGCUAUUAUUUCAUAAUUGUAAAGGAUUAAAAAUGGGAAAAAGGGAUAAUUUGUUCAAACUGUUAGCUUGUCUAACUUUCAUUAGUAGGCGCCAUCACGACUCCCGAGGGUGGAAAAUCUGGGUCAUGACAUCAACACACAAAAGACUCGAGGUCGUUCCCACCUAAUAAAAGAAAAAUAAAAUACUAUGAGUUCUACUUUCGGCCUCCAAAUACAAAUACUUCGGGGCAUAACCCAGAUAAAAAUAUAUACAGAGUCUAUGGGACAUUCCCCUAAAUAUAAACUAAAGGGAACGACCUCUCACCUUGGAUAAAAUAAUAGAAAGGCCUUAAAGUUUGCCUACCCAAUUGUGGUCGACCUAAGCAUGCUCCUAGCGAUUGAGAAAAAUAGAAAUAAAAUUAAACUAAAGUAAAUAAAACUCAUUUCUUUUUCACCUUCUUUUAACUCUUCAUUUCAUGUAUUUGACCCACCUCAAUUUCUAAAACGCGCGAGCAAUUUGAAUCACUAAUGGGAUAGGCCUCUACCAAACUCCAAGGCUCAAUGCCACAUAAACAUGCCACAGAAUAACUGUGAAGAGCAAAUAAACAUCCAAACAUAGGAAGUGAACAAACAAACAAGAGGAAAGGUAGGUAAUAAGACAAAAGAAAUGGUGGAUUGAAAUAUGAUAAGAGCUUUAAAACUUCUCCUUAAUCUCAUCCCUGUACCCACAUCUCCUAAUUUUCUUAAAACCAAAUAAACUCCAAACAACAUCUAACAAAUAAUCCAAGCUAAAAUCAAAUAAGCUUCAAACAACAUUUAAUAGAUAAUUCUACGAUUGAUUAAGCCUGCAGAACUCAACAACAAACAUUGAAUUUAAUUCUUCACUUCUUAUGAUCUGACUAACUCAAACUGAUGAUCCAAAAUUCCCACACAAAUGCCAGCAGUGAUAAAUUAGCAUUCCCACCACAACAUAUUAAACUAGUCAAGGUAGAAAGGGAAAAUUCCAACAUGAGAUCAAAUUCGGCGCGAAGCAACAUGAUAAGCUCAUGACUACUAAAUAGUAAGGUUUUAAAUGAGUUAGGAUUCAACAACCAAGAAGAAAACAAUUUCAAGGGAGUGAGGAUUAGGUACACAAGACUAGAUUAACUAAAAAGAAGACGAAGGGCAAUGCAUUCUGCUAGAACCACAACAAGAUUUAUGAAAUAGGCACAGAGCUCCAACUAAUAGCCAGAAGAACUAAUUUUAUAACCAGGCAAACAAACAGGAGCAAGGGAAACUAAUAAUCACUCAAUUGAACAUCAAUAUAUCCUACAGGAAAGAAACAAAAAUAUGAAAAUGCACCAGAAAUCUUUAUGCACCAAAGAACUGUCCCAAAACGCGUGGUGGAGUGUCGUUAUCCUAUACAAAUGGAAGCUAAAUAAACUGAUUUGGAAUUAAUUGAAGGCGUUGGAACUAUAUGAACUGAUUUUUUGCACCUAAAUUCUAGAAGAUCAGCAUUACAAACUCAAGAAAUCAAAAGCAAAGAUUUGACCAUUUCUGAACUUAACGGGGAUAUCAGACCCUCAUUUGAAGGGAAUGAUCACACUUAAGCCCCCACAAAAAUUGAAGCAAAUGGGAUGAAAUAGAGACAUACUAAUCUGGAUUGUAGCGACUUGAACAAUGAUAGUUAUGGCUUAAGUAUCGAUUUUAUUACUCAGACAGCACAAAAUAAUAAGAACAAAACUCGAAUAUUUCCAUCAAGAGCAGAACUACAUUUGAAACACAUAUUCAAACACAAAUCCAUUCAAAACUGUCUAUUAAGCACAUAUAAACUCAUUCUAUACCCUUAAGAUGUUGUAGACACUAAUGAAUCCCAAACGACCACCAUAGCUCUUAUCAUAUUUCAAACAACCCCAAAAUAGAUUAAGAAAGAUUAGAGAUAAACCUGAAUCAGCAGACACUUUUAAUUAACUUUGCUCGAACGCUAAAUACACGUGAAAUCCAGCAGCGAAGAUCAAAACCAACAGCAACAAAAAAAAACAGGAAUCCCGAGCCACAGACGACCCUCAAGUUAGCGACUCGAUCACUUGAACCUCGGGCAUCAACGACUUCAACAACCUUGGCUCGACUCCAUUUACUAACAUAGAUUGAAGAUGAAACUGAAAUCCGACUCUACACUCACUAGAAAACAGAAACGUAAAAGGAAUCUUUUGAAAUGACCUAAAAUCUAAAAUCAAACUCGAAGAUGAGAAGAAGCUCAAUUUUCUUCUCCAAAUCUUAGAGCAGAGAAGAAGAGCCCCUUUUAAAAACCCCUAAUUCUCCUCCCAAACCCACAAAUAUAUACUCCAUCUCGAAACUUCUAUACUUGUCUUCCAAGAAAACCCAAAAAUCUUCCAAACACAUCCAAAAUUCGGUUUUUUGAUCAGUAAAGGACAAGUGGAGGGAGUAGAUUGUGUUUAACUCAAUUCUAUGCCCCCAAUUAAUCCUAAUCUAGUCUUCAAAUGAAAUUCGGGUGAGAUGAGCGUAUGAGAGAGAGGCGGCCUCGAUUUGUCAGAGUUUGUUACGGAUUCAGCUGACGUGGAAGGAAUAUGAGGGGAGGGGACCAUGGAGGGUUCGUUUAUGUUGGGGUUUGGGUUGGGUUAAGGUGGGAGAAGGGUUUGAGGGAGAAUAGGAGUGCGGCUGAGGUCUUUGGGUUUAGGGUUAGAGAAAUACUUAGGUUUUAUAUAUGGGU